UUCCCAAUGGGACCAUACCCAUUUGGGAGAUGAUGGGGCAUAUAAAGAAGUUUCGUAUAGACUGUCCCAAUUCCUUAGCUAGUAGGGCUUGGGAUUGGAGAAGACACAAAGUCCAAUUCUUUGUGUGCAAAAGAGUGGAAGAGGUCAGGUUUUGAGUGUAAUUGUGGAAGCCUAGAGGUUUCUUAACAUGACUAUUCGCACCUUUCAAAGCACAUCAUGUUCCACUGCUAUUGCUUAUUUUUUCUUCUGUUUUUGUUUUAGAUAAAGGAGAGUGCGUCGGCAGAGCCCGCCUCAUCCAGAACUGAUAAAGGAGAGUGCGUCGGCAGAGCCCGCCUCAUCCAGAACUGAUAAAGGAGAGUGUGUCGGCAGAGCCCGCCUCAUCCAGAACUGAUAAAGGAGAGUGUCGGCAGAGCCCGCCUCAUCCAGAACUGAUAAAGGAGAGUGCGUCGGCAGAGCCCGCCUCAUCCAGAACUGAUAAAGGAGAGUGUGUCGGCAGAGCCCGCCUCAUCCAGAACUGGUGAGUUUACUGCCCUUUUGUAAAUUGGAUACAACCUGAUGCCUCUUGUAGCUAGGAUGGAUCUCCUCUAGAUCCCAGGGGCCUCCUAUGUUUUCUGGAGUGCUCCAGUUG
Molecule: long non-coding RNA, 628 nt
Organism: Sarcophilus harrisii (Tasmanian devil)
Lineage: Eukaryota; Metazoa; Chordata; Mammalia; Dasyuromorphia; Dasyuridae
Exons: 6
Source: RefSeq, a predicted model, not a curated record